RNAcentral lists this ribosomal RNA (853 nucleotides) under Bacteroidetes bacterium endosymbiont of Coelostomidia deboerae. Its description in RNAcentral is "bacterial SSU rRNA". It matches the Rfam family "Bacterial small subunit ribosomal RNA", at positions 622 to 1484 of the family's 1533-position model. Lineage: Bacteria; Pseudomonadati; Bacteroidota. The record is from RNAcentral.
UGCUAUUGAUACUAGCAGCCUUGAGUAAGAUUGGAGCAAUUGGAAUGUGUGGUGUAGCGGUAAAAUGCGUAGAUAUCACACAGAACACCGAUCGCGAAGGCAGAUUGCUAAGUCUUUACUGACGCUGAGGCACGAAAGCGUGGGUAGCAAACAGGAUUAGAUACCCUGGUAGUCCACGCUGUAAACGAUGAUCACUAGCUGUUGGAUUGUUUUUUUUAUUCAGUGGCCAAUCGAAAGAGAUAAGUGAUCCACCUGGGGAGUACGAUCGCAAGAUUGAAACUCAAAGGAAUUGACGGGGGCCCGCACAAGCGGUGGAGCACGUGGUUUAAUUCGAUAAUACGCGAGGAACCUUACCAAGGCUUAAAUGUACCACGAAUAGGCUGGAAACAGCUUAGUUUUCGGACGGGGUACAAGGUGCUGCAUGGUUGUCGUCAGCUCGUGCCUUGAGGUGUUGGGUUAAGUCCCGCAACGAGCGCAACCCCUAUUGUUAGUUGCCAACGGAUGAUGCCGGGAACUCUAACAAAACAGCCGAUGCAAAUCGAGAGGAAGGUGGGGAUGACGUCAAAUCAUCAUGGCCCUUACGUCUUGGGCCACACACGUGCUACAAUGGCCGGUACAGAGGGAAGCCACUGGGUGACUAGAAGCGAAUCUCUAAAACCGGUCUCAGUUCGGAUUGGAGUCUGCAACUCGACUCUAUGAAGCUGGAAUCGCUAGUAAUCGCGUAUCAGCCAUGACGCGGUGAAUACGUUCCUGGGCCUUGUACACACCGCCCGUCAAGCCAUGGAAGUCGGAGGUAUCUGAAGUCAGUGACCGUUAAAGGAGCUGCCUAGGGUAAAAUCGGUAACUAGUCUAA